CAGGAGGCAAACCGGGGGAACUGAAACAUCUAAGUACCCCGAGGAAGAGAAAUCAACCGAGAUUCCGAAAGUAGCGGCGAGCGAAAUUGGAUUAGCCCUUAAGCUUUUAAUGAGACAGAUGAAGGCUCUGGAAAGUGCCGCAAUAAAGGGUGAUAGCCCCGUAAUCGACAUCUCAUCAUCAGUGAAAACGAGUAGGGCGGGACACGUGAUAUCCUGUCUGAAUAUGGGGGGACCAUCCUCCAAGGCUAAAUACUACUGACUGACCGAUAGUGAACCAGUACCGUGAGGGAAAGGCGAAAAGAACCCCUGUGAGGGGAGUGAAAUAGAACCUGAAACCGUGUACGUACAAGCAGUAGGAGCACCUUCGUGGUGUGACUGCGUACCUUUUGUAUAAUGGGUCAGCGACUUAAUUUUAGUAGCAAGGUUAACCGUUUAGGGGAGCCGUAGGGAAACCGAGUCUUAACUGGGCGUACAGUUGCUAGGAUUAGACCCGAAACCAGGUGAUCUAGCCAUGGGCAGGUUGAAGGUUGAGUAACAUCAACUGGAGGACCGAACCGACUAAUGUUGAAAAAUUAGCGGAUGACUUGUGGCUAGGGGUGAAAGGCCAAUCAAACCUGGAGAUAGCUGGUUCUCCCCGAAAGCUAUUUAGGUAGCGCCUCGGACGAAUACUACUGGGGGUAGAGCACUGUUAAGGCUAGGGGGUCAUCCCGACUUACCAACCCUUUGCAAACUCCGAAUACCAGUAAGUACUAUCCGGGAGACACACGGCGGGUGCUAACGUCCGUCGUGGAGAGGGAAACAACCCAGACCGCCAGCUAAGGUCCCAAAGUAUAGCUAAGUGGGAAACGAUGUGGGAAGGCUCAGACAGCCAGGAUGUUGGCUUAGAAGCAGCCAUCAUUUAAAGAAAGCGUAAUAGCUCACUGGUCGAGUCGGCCUGCGCGGAAGAUGUAACGGGGCUAAGCUAUACACCGAAGCUGCGGCUACGUACCUUAGGGUAUGUGGGGUAGGGGAGCGUUCUGUAAGCCGUUGAAGGUGGUCUGUAAGGGCUGCUGGAGGUAUCAGAAGUGCGAAUGCUGACAUGAGUAACGAUAAAGGGAGUGAAAAACUCCCUCGCCGGAAGACCAAGGGUUCCUGUCCAACGUUAAUCGGGGCAGGGUAAGUCGACUCCUAAGGCGAGGCCGAAAGGCGUAGUCGAUGGGAAAC
RNAcentral lists this ribosomal RNA (1203 nucleotides) under Vibrio crassostreae. RNAcentral describes it as "partial 23S ribosomal RNA". It matches the Rfam family "Bacterial large subunit ribosomal RNA", at positions 173 to 1426 of the family's 2925-position model. Lineage: Bacteria; Pseudomonadati; Pseudomonadota; Gammaproteobacteria; Vibrionales; Vibrionaceae. The record is from RNAcentral.